UGCCCGCCAUGGCGGUCGGUCGGCGGCGGGGUGAGGCGGUGCUGAGCGUCGGGCUGGCCCUGCUCCUCGGUGCCCUCCGGGUCCCAGCCACUUGCCCGGGGGUCUCAGUCACCCAGCAGCUUCUGAAGGAGGGGUUUCACAGGGAGCUGGUGGUGAAGGUGGAGCUUGGUGCCAGAGGGGAGGAUGCAGGAGGGUGCACAGUGGCAGCUAGAAUUCAUCUUCCACCAGGAAUCUUCGUGGAUCCCUACGAGCUGGCAUCACUGCAGCAACACAACUUAACAAAGGCAGUGUUAAUUCCUGAUGCCAUCGAUGUGGAAGCUCCUGAGUAUUUAUCCACAGAGCUCCAUGUCCUCCUGUCCCUGGAACCUCACCUGCAGUGCUCUCACUGUUUCCAGGCUGCCUUGCCUGUGCACGGGAGGUACCAGCGCCCAGCAGAAGAGAGUCAGGAAGCCUGGGUUGUUGUGCAGAGCCCAGAAGCACUGCUCUGCUGCUGUGACAGUAAGAUCUGGGGAGAGAGCAGUAACCACAGGCAGGCCAGAGCUUGGAAUCCACUUGUGCAUUUGUUAUCUGGAGAUGGAGCUCUCAGUAGUCAUGUGAAGAUCUCCUGCCCGCUGAGUGCUGGACGCUGAGUGCUGCAGAGGGAGCUCCCUGCUCAGGACAAGCCCCCGGCCCCUGUCGGUGGUACCGAAUAACGCAGAAACCUACCCCUGAGGAAUUGGUUCUGCAGGUCCCAGUGGGACUCAGGCACCACAGUUCCUUAGUGUGUGUCCUGACUCUUCUUGCCACGGUGCUCUGCUCCAGCCUGGUUCUUGCAGCAGUCUGCAGAUAUGGACACCUCUCCCCAGGCCCCUGCUCUGAGUAAAGAACUACUGACUGACUGACUGACUCUCCUCUGUCCAGCAAAACUCCCUGAAUAUUGCAUCAGCCUCCUAAAUGCAAGGCCCUGAACCUGGAUCAGCACAAAGCCAGGCUGAUGGCUUGGCAGAGAAUGGUCUGAGAGCAGCCUUGAGGAGAAGGCUGUGGAGGUGCUGGCUGAUAAAAAGCUCAAUCUGGGCUGGCAGUGUGUGCUGGCAGCCCAGCAACCAGCCCUGUGGUGGGCUGCAUCCCCAGCAGGGUGAGGGAGGGGAUUUUCCCACUCUGCUUUGCUUUGGUGAGAGCCCCCUGCAGUGCUGGGUCCAGUUCUGGGGUCCCUAACAAGAGAUGGACACAGAGCAAUUGGAGCAAGUCCAGAGGAGGCCCUGGAGGUGAUCUGAGGGCUGGAGCAGCUCUGCUGGGAGGACAGGCCAGGAAAGUUGGAGCUGUUCAGAGGAGGAUCUGGGGAGACCUUGGAGCACCUUCCAGUGCCUGAAGGACUCCAGGAAAGCUGGGGAGGGACUUUGGAUGAGGGCACAGAGUGAUAGGACAAGGGGUGAUGGCUUUAAUCUGGAAUUGGAUAGAUUUAGGCUAGACAUCAGGAAGAAAUUCUUUCCUGUGAGGGUGCUGAGCCCCAGAUUGCCCAGGGAAGCUGUGGCUGCCCCAUCCCUGGCAGUGUUCAUGGGCCCUUCAAGGUCUUGAACAACCUGAUGUGGUGGGAGGUGUCCCUGCCCAUCCAGGGGGUUGUAACAAAAUGAUCCUUCAGGUCCCCUCCAACCCAAACCAUUCUAUGAUUUGAUGAAAUGAAUCUUACUCUACUUUUAUUUAUAUCUUGCUUAUGCAUGAGGGUCUCUCCAUGAGCAAUAGUCACCUUGGCCUAGCUCCUAAAACCACCUUGCACACCCCCAGAGAUUGUUCUGGUGCACUGCACAGUCUGGGUUCUGGUUCCCUGCCCCUGGCCCAGAGUCUGCUCUGACUUGUGCUGCCUCUCGUGGGGGUGUUUGUGUUUCUUGAAUUCAAAGCAAUGGACUCAGGGACUGGGCAUCAAGGGAAUGGAAAACAUUUACUAAUCAUUAAAGUUUCUGAAUUUUAAG
This is an RNA transcript of Calypte anna (Anna's hummingbird), 1946 nucleotides long. It is a transcript of the gene named phosphatidylinositol glycan anchor biosynthesis class X, with no coding region annotated. The transcript has 6 exons. NCBI's taxonomy places the organism in Eukaryota, Metazoa, Chordata, Aves, Apodiformes, Trochilidae. The record is from RefSeq and is a predicted model, not a curated record.